UAACUGCGAUACUUAGUGCGAACUGCAGAUAUUUUGAGCACUGAGGCUUCCAAUGCACAUUGCGCCAUCGGAGCAACACCUUUGGCACACCUGGUUCAGGGUUGUCUAAUCGAAACGAACGCCUCUUCGUUCACUUUCAGUGGGAUCACCGGCAUUCCAGCCAGUGUUCCCGCCUCUUGCCGCCGGUAUGGGCUGCCUGCCGCUCGAUUGCAGCACGGCCCCUACCGGUGUUAAGGAGCCAGGCAACGCGCUCGCCAGCUGGCGGCAGUCAAUCACAGCCGUAGAUUGCCUUGCCGCCGCGCUUGUUCGGCUGAGCGACGCAUAGCCAUGUAAGGCUCGCAACAGCGACCUGAACUCAGGUGAGAUCACCUGCUGAACUUAA
RNAcentral lists this unclassified non-coding RNA (382 nucleotides) under uncultured fungus. RNAcentral's name for it is "sequence contains ITS1". The stretch from base 1 to 104 matches the Rfam family "5.8S ribosomal RNA", at positions 50 to 154 of the family's 154-position model. Lineage: Eukaryota; Fungi. The record is from RNAcentral.